Asparagus officinalis (garden asparagus) is the source of this 661-nucleotide long non-coding RNA. RefSeq lists it as uncharacterized. The record is from RefSeq and is a predicted model, not a curated record. The transcript is spliced from 4 exons. NCBI's taxonomy places the organism in Eukaryota, Viridiplantae, Streptophyta, Magnoliopsida, Asparagales, Asparagaceae.
AGUUACUCGAUUGAUGCAGAAAGCUCGCAUCCAGAUCUGGCUCUUCGAGCAGAAGGAUCUGAGGAUCGAAGGACGCAUUAUUGGCUUUGACGAGUACAUGAAUUUGGUCCUUGAUGAUGCUGAGGAACUUAACGUCAAAAAGAACACCAAGAAGCCAUUGGGGAGGAUUCUCUUGAAAGGGGACAACAUAACCUUGAUGAUGAACACGGGAAAAUGAUGACCGAGGAUUAAAGGAUGCUGUUGUUUGUCUGUAGCAGUAUUCUAUUUUCAAGAUUCAUGGAGGUCUCAAUUUGUAGCUGUCUUUAUGUCGUAUGAUACUGAUUCCCCGUGAAUAUGACGCCUGUCAUGUUGGCUAUGAAAUGAAUUUCGGCGCUAGAACAAAGUUAGGGCAUCACUAAGAACCUUUCUGUAUCAACUCUUAAUGCAAAUCUCCAUCAAGAAGAUCUCUCAAUUAAUCCGUGAUCUGUGGAUGAUCAAAUUGUGUUUUAAAAAACAAUGCUUAGCACACACUCCCUCUUUUUGGUUGUGGAGUAUAUUUGCAUCAACUUGUUUUUCACUUUAUAUUCCCCAUGUCUUUUGGGAAAUAGGAAGGGUUUGUUGCAGAGAGAUGCCUUGUUCCGCUAGAUUAUGCAUAGCAAGUAUUAUGACUUUUGAAAUAUUC